This 491-nucleotide ribosomal RNA is filed under the name uncultured bacterium. RNAcentral's name for it is "bacterial SSU rRNA". It matches the Rfam family "Bacterial small subunit ribosomal RNA", at positions 34 to 507 of the family's 1533-position model. The record is from RNAcentral.
CGUUAGCGGCGCGCCUAACACAUGCAAGUCGAGCGAGAAGGAAGCAAUUCCUGUAAAGCGGCGCACGGUGAGUAACACGUAGGUAAUCUACCUCGAAGUGGUGGAUAACCUUCCGAAAGGAGGGCUAAUACAGCAUGAGACCACGGUUUCGAAAGAGAUUGAGGUCAAAGCGGGCCACUAUACAUAAGCUCGCGCUUCGAGAUGAGCCUGCGGCCCAUCAUAGUAGUUGGUAGGGUAGUGGCCUACCAAGCCGAAGACGGGUAGCUGGUCUGAGAGGAUGAUCAGCCACACUGGAACUGAGACACGGUCCAGACUCCUACGGGAGGCAGCAGUGGGGAAUCUUGCGCAAUGGGCGAAAGCCUGACGCAGCGACGCCGCGUGAGUGAUGAAGGCCUUCGGGUUGUAAAGCUCUGUGGAGGGGGACGAAUAAGGGUUGGCUAACAUCCAGCUCGAUGACGGUACCCCUUUAGCAAGCACCGGCUAACUCUGUG